Molecule: ribosomal RNA, 1069 nt
Filed under: uncultured eukaryote
Lineage: Eukaryota
Description: SSU rRNA
Rfam family: Eukaryotic small subunit ribosomal RNA
Source: RNAcentral
GCUCGUAGUUGGAUUUCUGUGGGGGCGGAGCGGCCGGCCGCAACUCGCGGUUCGAGCUGGCGCUUCCCCUACAUCCUGCCGCGAACCGUGCUACCAUUAGUUUGGUGGCGCCGGGGAUCGGCUCGUUUACUUUGAGAAAAAUAGAGUGUUCAAAGCAGGCCACACGCCUUGAAUAAGUUAGCAUGGAAUAAUAAUAAAGGACUUCGGUUCUAUUUUGUUGGUGUUCAGGACUGAAGUAAUGAUUGAUAGGGACAGUUGGGGCGGUCAGUAUUCCAAAGCGAGAGGUGAAAUUCUUAGACCUUCGGAAGACUAACAGCUGCGAAAGCGUUCCGCAAGGAUGUUCCCUUUGAUCAAGAACGAAAGUUGGGGGAUCGAAGACGAUCAGAUACCGUCGUAGUCUCAACUAUAAACUAUACCAGCUAGGGAUCGGCCAACGUUAAAUUAUCCGACUUGGUCGGCACCUUAUGAGAAAUCAAAGCAUCUGGGUUCCGGGGGGAGUAUGGUCGCAAGGCUGAAACUUAAAGGAAUUGACGGAAGGGCACCACCAGCCGUGGAGCCUGUGGCUUAAUUUGACUCAACACGGGAAAACUUACCAGGUCCAGACAUAGUAAGGAUUGACAGAUUGAUAGCUCUUUCUUGAUUCUGUGGGUGGUGGUGCAUGGCCGUUCUUAGUUGGUGGAGUGAUUUGUCUGGUUAAUUCCGUUAACGAACGAGACCCCAGCCUGCUAAAUAGCGCGGUUGAGCUUUGCUCGGCGCGAGCUUCUUAGAGGGACUAUGAUGCGCGAUAGCACAUGGAAGUUUGGGGCAAUAACAGGUCUGUGAUGCCCUUAGAUGUUCUGGGCCGCACACGGGCUACACUGGCGCCUGCAACGAGCAUAUCAGCUGGCCCGAGAGGGUCUUGGCUAAUCUUUUGAACCGGCGCCGUGCUUGGGAUUGACCAUUGCAAUUGUUGGUCAUGCAACGAGGAAUGCCUUGUAAACGCGAGUCAUCAACUCGCAUUGAAUACGUCCCUGCCCUUUGUACACACCGCCCGUCGCUCUACCGAUGAAUGUUCCGAUGAAAUUUUCGA